UUUAUUCUAGUUUGAGUUUUCUUUUGAUGAAGCCAGAAUAACAAAAAUUAAUGAGCCUGAGAUCUGAGAAACUGAUUCACUGUUUUCAGCAAACUGUGCCACUAAAGAAACUUAUAUAAUCAAGAGAAACAGGCCUAUACAGAUGCUAUAUUUCAAUUAUUUCCGUUAACCCGUCCUCUCUUUUAUCCCCUUUUAUGUUCAUUUGGAAUCACCAGUGAAGGGUGAGCAUAUAUUGUGUAUAAUGUGCAGAUGUAUUUACUGUCAUUCCCCCCCCACCCUAGGAAAAACGUACACAUUAUUCACAUGUGAAUUAUAUAUGUAGGUCAUCGGCGUGUGAAUAGAAGCAUUAUGCACCGUAACUAACUAGAUUCACAUGUGGAAAUAUGUGUGUUGGUGUGAAUACAUGUGUGAGAGAGAAGGCCAUGUUUUUAAAAACUGUAACUCACCACAUCCUGCCAUGCAAUGUGAAUCACUAUAUGAAGAGUUUCACUCCAAACAUACAUUGAUUAGGAGUCCAAAAUUAACAUUUUAAUAGAUUAAAUUAAAGUGGUUUAGGCUAUUGGUUGAUUUCUUUGUUUCUUUUUGUACUCUACAUUAUACAUACACUCUAUCUUUAUGAAAGUUAACUCUUCAUAUGAUCACAUAUAAUGCAAUCUGUCAUACGCAUAUUUGUUUGAUUUCUUGAGUUCAGUUUUCAGACCUUUGAAAAUAGAUCCAUCAAAAAAUCUACAGUCUUUCAAGCAAAAACACUAACAAUACAUCCUACUCUUCCACACUUUCAGGUCUCCAACAAAGGGGUCUCCGACAAACAACGUGUCACCAACAUCAACUCCAGCCAAAUCUUCAAACGCUGUUCCCACACUGCAGCCUCCCCCAGGGGAUAGUGCUGCCGCUGCCGCUGCUCCUGAGCCAGCUGAAGAUUCUUUGCUGGACCUGGAUCCGCUGUCCUCCUCGGGUCCAUCUGCACCAUCAGCUGCCCCCACAUCUUGGGGUGACCUUCUUGGGUCAGAAAUGGGCGAUUCCUUGCUAUCUGAACCCACCCUCACAGCAGAGCCCGCUCCCUCCCCUGCAGCAGCAACACCCAAUCCUGCAGCGGCAGAACCUGGAGUCUCUCUAGCUCCUCCCACUAGCACAGCAGCUGCCACCUCCCCUGGCGCCGCCAGUAUGGAUCUGUUGGGAGGUCAGUGGGCUUCCAGAAAAUUCUCUAUGGAAGAAUCACUCUGGGAAGCUCAACCCUAAAACCAUUACACAAUAUAAUAACACAAUGUAUGCAUGUACAAACACAUACAGUAUGUAGACAGAACUUUGCUGAUUUUCUCAGUAUUGCCUGUAUCCUACUAACAAAGAUGCAUCAUCAGUAACAGUCGAGUCUUCACCUGUGUCCAGAAUCACUCCCUCGUUCAUAUUAGUGAGAAGUAAAUUUAGGUUUUAACUAUUUACUAAUCAUACGUCACUUUAUGUCAUCACAAACAGCUCUAGAGCCGCUCAGUGGAUGUUUUCUCAUCUGUAAAAUGCAGCCCAUUGCAUUGUGGGAUUGUUAACAAACAGGCAUGCAGGUCUACAUGCUGUGGGCAGUGUUGUUUUUCUAAGGGCACCAAACAGUGGAUAUGCAUGGAUGGAUUACCUGACCUAAUAGGGCACAGGCCCAGGGGCCCAAGGAGUCAGGGUUACCCUAGACUGAGAGAACCAUGGAGGGACCCUUAACCUUUCUGUUGGGAAAUCAAACAAUUAACUAUCACUACAAAAAGACAAAAUAUUAUAAAAAACAGAUACAAAAGUAAGCAAACUGACUAAAAGAAUCAGAAAACAACACCAAAAACAGAAUAACAAGAGCAGAAAUAUAAGUGACUAAAUAAAACACAAUUAGAGUAGAGGAAUGACUAUGAAGAGAUGUAAAAUGAGUAAAAGCUGACAUAACACACAUAAAACAACCACAAGAAAACACAAAGUGACAGGUCAUGUGGUUGCUCCAUCUGUGAGUCUUAUUCUGAUUGUUGGAGGGGUGGGGGCUUUUCACAUGUCUGGGCUCAGGGGCCUGUUGUCUCCUAAUCCGUCCAUGUGGAUACAUCUACAUACUCAGCAAUCAGGCAUUCAAUUACAGUAAAUGUAUUGCACUAUAUAGUAAAUAGGGAGUGAUUUCAGACACAGCCUUACUGAUGCAUUGAUGCACAACUCCAUCAUUUUCAGCUAUUGACUGCCUCAAAAUUAUGAACACAGAUAUUCACAAUGAAAUACAUAGAUAUGUAAUUAUAAAAUAAAUAAUAGUAUGAG
This is a long non-coding RNA of Mastacembelus armatus (zig-zag eel), 2271 nucleotides long. The record is from Ensembl. NCBI's taxonomy places the organism in Eukaryota, Metazoa, Chordata, Actinopteri, Synbranchiformes, Mastacembelidae.